CCUGGGCAUGGUGGUGCACUUCUGUAAUCCCAACAACUAGGGAGGCUGAGGCAGGAGGAUUGCAAGUUCAAGGCUAGCCUCAGCAAUUUAGCAAGGCCUUAAACAAUUUAGUGAGAUUCUGUUUCAA
RNAcentral lists this small RNA (127 nucleotides) under Marmota monax (woodchuck). The record is from RNAcentral. Lineage: Eukaryota; Metazoa; Chordata; Mammalia; Rodentia; Sciuridae.